CAGCAGGCCAGGCCUCCCUGUCCAUCACCGACUCCUGGAGUUCACUCAGACUCACGUCCAUCGAGUCAGUGAUACCAUCCAGCCAUCUCAUCCUCUGUCAUCCCCUUCUCCUCCUGCCCCCAAUCCCUCCCAGCAUCAGAGUCUUUUCCAAUGAGUCAACUCUUCGCAUGAGGUGGCCAAAGUACUGGAGUUUCAGCUUUAGCAUCAUUCCUUCCAAAGAACACCCAGGACUGAUCUCCUUUAGAAUGGACUGGUUGCUCACCACCAGUCAAAUGUCACCUUUUCUGUUCCCCUUGGACAAUUUCCCUUUCUGCCCCAGGCAGACUUCUUCCUUCCCAGGCCUGAGGGCACGUGGGACACCCCCUAAUGGCACUGAUCACAUUGCAAUGUUACCCUUGGGUCACAGGUUUCUGGACCUCUGGACUUUAGGUGUUUUUUUAAUUAAUCUUAUAGAGAAAUUUUUGGUUUGUCCAAAGAGACUCCAGACUUUUUAUUUUCUAAAUUGAAUUUUAAGGAGAAGUUUUAGGUUCCUACGAAAAGACUCCAGGCUUUCUUUUAAAACAGAGACUGUGUGAUUCAUCUGCCCCCAGCACCUAGCAUGGCCUCUGGCUCAUAGCCGGGGUUCAAAUGCAUGCUUGUUUGGUAAUAAGUGAGGCAAGACACACUGGGAAUGAUUUAAAAAAAUAACAAAGAGAUGUAUCUUUACACACAUCUUUGCUGUUGAAAAUGAAGUCCGUGAAAGUUUUCUGGGAAUUCAAAAGUAGUUCUUUUUCAUGGGCCCUCCUUGGUUGGUUUUCAAGUUUGCCCUGAAGCAUCUUCUGUCCAAAUAGCCUUUCGCUGGCAGCAGUUCUACCUUCAUCCAGAAGAUGGCGGGCGAGGCCAGCAAGCGAGCUUCGCAAUGCAGCCAGGCGCCAGGCCUAGGCAGGUGACCCUUUUUUAACAAAAGAUGCGGGCACCUGAAGCCUAUUUGCCAACCCCAUAAAUGCGCAUGGGCGACAAGAACUUCGGGAUAGGUUCUGGUGUUGAUCCCCGUGAAAAGGAGCCUUUUUGAAAGGGUGUUUCAGGGGGAGCAUGGCAGCAAGUGGUUAAAGGGCAGGUCCUCUAAAACUCUCCUUUGAAUGGGGAAAACACUGUGGAAAAUGAACUUCCUAUAAAGCAGGCACAGCCCUCAAAGUCUCCGUGACUCAGGACGACGUGCUUUUUUGCCUCUUGAAGCUUACUUGCUUUGGAAAUGGUUCCCGGCUCCCUGGCCACCUCCACAGCUGACCGGAAGCUUCUCUUGGGUCACAAUUCCUCCUCCUCACAGGUCUGCACACUCCCAACAGCACUUGUCACCAUCUGAAACUUAAAAGAAGCCUGUUCAUAUCCUGUCUCAUAAGAAUGUCAAUUCCAUGAGAAAAGAGACCUUUGAGAACAGUUUCUGAAAUUUAAACUACAGUGGAACUCUAGCAUCCCAGUAUCCAUGUCAUUUCGACCUGGGCUGUUCAUACGGCUGUUGAGCACUUUAUAUAGGGCUAAUGCAAACUGAGAUGUGUUGUGGCCCAGUGGUAAAGAAUCCACCUGCCAAUGCAAGAGAUGCAAGAGACAUGGGUUUGAACCUUAGAUUGGGAAGAUCCCCUGGAGCAGGAAAUGGUGAACUACGCCAGUAUUCUUGCCUGGAAAAUUCCAUGGACAGAGGAGCCUAGUGAACUACAGUUCAUGGGGUUGCAAAGAGUUGGACAUGGCUGAGUAACAGAGCGUACACACACACAUAUACACUUUUUCAGAUUCUUUUCCAUUAUAGGUUAUUACAAGACAUUGAGUACAGUUUGCUAUACAGUAGGUGUUUGUUGGUUAUCUUUUUUUAUACAUAGUAGUGUGUAUAUUUUAAUCCCAAACUCCUAAUGUAUCCCUCUCUCCCCCUCCCCUUUGGUAACUCUUAAGUUUGUUUUCUGUGUCUGUGAGUCUAUUUCUGUUUUGGAAAUAAAUUCAUUUGUACUUUUUAAAAAUUCCACAUAUAAGCAAAUCAUGUAUUUGUCUUUUUCUGUCUGACUUGCUUCACUUUAUAUGAUCAUCUCUAGGUCCUUCCAUAUUGCAGAAGAUGAUAUUAUUUCAUUCUUUUUUAUGGCUAAGUAAUAUUCCAUUUGUAUGUAUACCACAUUUUAUUUAUCCAUUCAUCGGUAGUUUAAACAAUUUUACUACAUGUUUAAAUAAUAAUAUUUUUGUAUAUUGGAUGAACUAAAACAUUAAAAUUAAUUUAACCUGUUUACAUUUUGUGUAAUGUGGUUAUUCGAAAAUUUAAAAUUAUGUGUGUGUCAUCUUAAAUUUCUGUUGGACAAAGGGCAGUUCACUUUGCAGUGAUGUGUUC
Molecule: long non-coding RNA, 2347 nt
Organism: Bos taurus (domestic cattle)
Lineage: Eukaryota; Metazoa; Chordata; Mammalia; Artiodactyla; Bovidae
Source: Ensembl